GUAUAGGCUUUUCUCAAAGCCCUCCUGUAGAAAUAUAAACAUAUUUU
This is a non-coding RNA of Sus scrofa (pig), 47 nucleotides long. NCBI's taxonomy places the organism in Eukaryota, Metazoa, Chordata, Mammalia, Artiodactyla, Suidae. The record is from Rfam.